GCGCGCGUAGCUCAACGGCAGAGCAAUUGUCUUAUACACAAUCGGUUCUUGGUUCGAAUCCAAGCGCGCGCA
Molecule: transfer RNA, 72 nt
Filed under: Berkelbacteria bacterium GW2011_GWE1_39_12
Lineage: Bacteria; Candidatus Berkelbacteria
Description: tRNA-Ile
Rfam family: tRNA
About the family: Transfer RNA (tRNA) molecules are approximately 80 nucleotides in length. Their secondary structure includes four short double-helical elements and three loops (D, anti-codon, and T loops). Further hydrogen bonds mediate the characteristic L-shaped molecular structure. tRNAs have two regions of fundamental functional importance: the anti-codon, which is responsible for specific mRNA codon recognition, and the 3' end, to which the tRNAs corresponding amino acid is attached (by aminoacyl-tRNA synthetases). tRNAs cope with the degeneracy of the genetic code in two manners: having more than one tRNA (with a specific anti-codon) for a particular amino acid; and 'wobble' base-pairing, i.e. permitting non-standard base-pairing at the 3rd anti-codon position.
Source: RNAcentral